AUGGCACUCGAAUCCAAGUCCUCGUCGAGGUGUACCACGGAGACGGCGAAGGGAACGCACGUCUUGGAGAUCGUCGGGUACAGCCUCAAGAAGGGCCUGGGAAUCGGCAAGUUCGUCCAGUCGGCCAUCGUCACCGUCGGCGGCUACGACUGGACCAUCCGCUUCUACCCUGACGGAGCCAACAUAUCAUACGCCGAUUGCGUUUGCGUGUCGGUUUCGCGCGACCUCACGGGCAAGAGCAAGGGGGUGGCGCGGGCAUCCUGUGAUCUGCGACUGGUUAACAAGGAUACUGGGUUGCCAAAGAGUAUUUGGUAUCCGUCUCAACCAACCCCGUCAGUGUUCGACUACAAUAAUCGUGUUUUCCCAGAGUGUGGAGGGUCUAUUGAAAGGAGUGAGCUGGAGCUGGAAGCAUCAGGGUACAUCAAGGAUGAUAGCUUGACAAUUGAAUGUGUACUCACAGUCAUCAAACAAUCGCAGGUGACAAAAACAACCGGGAGCUCUGAAAUCAAGGUGUCAUCGUCGAACUUAUCAGAUCAUUUCGGCAAGCUGUUGUUAGAGGGGAAGGGGUCCGACGUGACAUUCAGUGUUGGCGGAGAGACUUUUGCCGCACACAAGAUCAUACUUGCGGCGCGAUCACCUGUCUUUGAGGCGGAGAUGUAUGGAGGGAUGAAGGAAGGAAAGGCAGAGUCCAUUACAGUUGAAGACAUGCAGCCUGCUGCUUUCAAGGCCUUACUGCAUUUUGUAUAUACCGACUCAUUGCCUGAUGUGGGUGAUUUUGGUGGUGAUGAUUACGUUGAGAUGAUCCGGCAUUUACUUGUGGCUGCCGAUAGAUAUGCCAUGGAUAGGCUGAAGUUGAUAUGUCAAAACAUCCUCGGAAAAAACCUUGCCAUGGAGACUCUGGCAACUACAUUGGCUUUAGCUGAUCACCAUAACUGUGACAGGCUUAAGGAAGCGUGCAUUGAGUUUAUUGCCUCUAAGGAUGAGAUGGAUGCUUUGAUGGCAACACAAGGUUACAGUAAUCUCAAAAGAACUUGCCCUUCCGUCUUAAUAGACGUGUUCGAGAAGGCAAGUAGGUUGCGCAGAGCAUAG
RNAcentral lists this ribosomal RNA (1089 nucleotides) under Triticum aestivum (bread wheat). RNAcentral's name for it is "partial small subunit ribosomal RNA". Lineage: Eukaryota; Viridiplantae; Streptophyta; Magnoliopsida; Poales; Poaceae. The record is from RNAcentral.